AGAGUUAGAUCAUGGCUCAGAUUGAACGCUGGCGGCAGGCCUAACACAUGCAAGUCGAACGGUAACAGGAAGAAGCUUGCUUCUUUGCUGACGAGUGGCGGACGGGUGAGUAAUGUCUGGGAAACUGCCUGAUGGAGGGGGAUAACUACUGGAAACGGUAGCUAAUACCGCAUAACGUCGCAAGACCAAAGAGGGGGACCUUCGGGCCUCUUGCCAUCGGAUGUGCCCAGAUGGGAUUAGCUAGUAGGUGGGGUAACGGCUCACCUAGGCGACGAUCCCUAGCUGGUCUGAGAGGAUGACCAGCCACACUGGAACUGAGACACGGUCCAGACUCCUACGGGAGGCAGCAGUGGGGAAUAUUGCACAAUGGGCGCAAGCCUGAUGCAGCCAUGCCGCGUGUAUGAAGAAGGCCUUCGGGUUGUAAAGUACUUUCAGCGGGGAGGAAGGGAGUAAAGUUAAUACCUUUGCUCAUUGACGUUACCCGCAGAAGAAGCACCGGCUAACUCCGUGCCAGCAGCCGCGGUAAUACGGAGGGUGCAAGCGUUAAUCGGAAUUACUGGGCGUAAAGCGCACGCAGGCGGUUUGUUAAGUCAGAUGUGAAAUCCCCGGGCUCAACCUGGGAACUGCAUCUGAUACUGGCAAGCUUGAGUCUCGUAGAGGGGGGUAGAAUUCCAGGUGUAGCGGUGAAAUGCGUAGAGAUCUGGAGGAAUACCGGUGGCGAAGGCGGCCCCCUGGACGAAGACUGACGCUCAGGUGCGAAAGCGUGGGGAGCAAACAGGAUAGAUACCCUGGUAGUCCACGCCGUAAACGAUGUCGACUUGGAGGUUGUGCCCUUGAGGCGUGGCUUCCGGAGCUAACGCGUUAAGUCGACCGCCUGGGGAGUACGGCCGCAAGGUUAAAACUCAAAUGAAUUGACGGGGGCCCGCACAAGCGGUGGAGCAUGUGGUUUAAUUCGAUGCAACGCGAAGAACCUUACCUGGUCUUGACAUCCACGGAAGUUUUCAGAGAUGAGAAUGUGCCUUCGGGAACCGUGAGACAGGUGCUGCAUGGCUGUCGUCAGCUCGUGUUGUGAAAUGUUGGGUUAAGUCCCGCAACGAGCGCAACCCUUAUCCUUUGUUGCCAGCGGUCCGGCCGGGAACUCAAAGGAGACUGCCAGUGAUAAACUGGAGGAAGGUGGGGAUGACGUCAAGUCAUCAUGGCCCUUACGACCAGGGCUACACACGUGCUACAAUGGCGCAUACAAAGAGAAGCGACCUCGCGAGAGCAAGCGGACCUCAUAAAGUGCGUCGUAGUCCGGAUUGGAGUCUGCAACUCGACUCCAUGAAGUCGGAAUCGCUAGUAAUCGUGGAUCAGAAUGCCACGGUGAAUACGUUCCCGGGCCUUGUACACACCGCCCGUCACACCAUGGGAGUGGGUUGCAAAAGAAGUAGGUAGCUUAACCUUCGGGAGGGCGCUUACCACUUUGUGAUUCAUGACUGGGGUGAAGUCGGAACAAGGUA
This 1499-nucleotide ribosomal RNA is filed under the name metagenome. Its description in RNAcentral is "bacterial SSU rRNA". It matches the Rfam family "Bacterial small subunit ribosomal RNA". The record is from RNAcentral.